CAGUCGCCGCGGUAAUACGUAGGUCCCGAGCGUUGUCCGGAUUUAUUUGGCGUAAAGCGAGCGCAGGCGGUUAGAUAAGUCUGAAGUUAAAGGCUGUGGCUUAACCAUAGUACGCUUUGGAAACUGUUUAACUUGAGUGCAAGAGGGGAGAGUGGAAUUCCAUGUGUAGCGGUGAAAUGCGUAGAUAUAUGGAGGAACACCGGUGGCGAAAGCGGCUCUCUGGCUUGUAACUGACGCUGAGGCUCGAAAGCGUGGGGAGCAAACAGGAUUAGAUACCCGCGUAGUCCCUGUCUCUUAUACA
Molecule: ribosomal RNA, 301 nt
Filed under: uncultured bacterium
Lineage: Bacteria
Description: partial 16S ribosomal RNA
Rfam family: Bacterial small subunit ribosomal RNA
Source: RNAcentral